Molecule: microRNA, 22 nt
Filed under: Cavia porcellus (domestic guinea pig)
Lineage: Eukaryota; Metazoa; Chordata; Mammalia; Rodentia; Caviidae
Source: RNAcentral
UAGGUCACCCGUUUCACUAUCC